RNAcentral lists this non-coding RNA (179 nucleotides) under Ahrensia sp. R2A130. RNAcentral's name for it is "Ruegeria cis52 sRNA". It matches the Rfam family "Ruegeria cis52 sRNA". Rfam says of the family: Cis-encoded. Targets oligo/dipeptide ABC transporter. The record is from Rfam by way of RNAcentral. Lineage: Bacteria; Pseudomonadati; Pseudomonadota; Alphaproteobacteria; Hyphomicrobiales; Ahrensiaceae.
UCCGCAGCGCAUGUUUCAGCACCACGGAAUAGAAGCCGAGGCCCUUCAACCGCGCGGUGCGGAUGUAUUGCUCCUGCAUCACUUCGGCCAUGGAGGCGCGGGUCAUGCGGGCGAUGUAGCCCAUGCCGUAUAGCGCCAGCGCGAUCACCGGCAGGGUGAAGUUGGAGAACGUUGCGUUC